AAAACGACUCUCGGCAACGGAUAUCUCGGCUCUCGCAUCGAUGAAGAACGUAGCGAAAUGCGAUACCUGGUGUGAAUUGCAGAAUCCCGUGAACCAUCGAGUCUUUGAACGCAAGUUGCGCCCGAAGCCUUCUGGCCGAGGGCACGCCUGCCUGGGUGUCAUGC
This 164-nucleotide ribosomal RNA is filed under the name Turnera coerulea var. surinamensis. RNAcentral describes it as "5.8S ribosomal RNA". It matches the Rfam family "5.8S ribosomal RNA". Rfam says of the family: 5.8S ribosomal RNA (5.8S rRNA) is a component of the large subunit of the eukaryotic ribosome. It is transcribed by RNA polymerase I as part of the 45S precursor that also contains 18S and 28S rRNA. Functionally, it is thought that 5.8S rRNA may be involved in ribosome translocation. The record is from RNAcentral. Lineage: Eukaryota; Viridiplantae; Streptophyta; Magnoliopsida; Malpighiales; Passifloraceae. RNAcentral also lists the same sequence under 6 other names.